This is a non-coding RNA of Bacillus sp. VT-16-64, 175 nucleotides long. The record is from Rfam. Lineage: Bacteria; Bacillati; Bacillota; Bacilli; Caryophanales; Bacillaceae.
UCCAUGGUGACAUGGAAUCUGAAGGAAGUUGGAGGCAAAUCUCUGGUCUGACGAACAGAAAUCAUAUAAGAGGCAACAUGUAGGGAUAAGGCUGCAAAUGAAGCUAAAGUCCAAUAGCUAUUGAAACCACUACAUGGUGUAUAUAUGGCAGAUAGAUGGAGAGAAAGAGUUCGCA